This 497-nucleotide ribosomal RNA is filed under the name uncultured bacterium. RNAcentral's name for it is "partial 16S ribosomal RNA". It matches the Rfam family "Bacterial small subunit ribosomal RNA", at positions 28 to 507 of the family's 1533-position model. The record is from RNAcentral.
GAUGAACGCUGGCGGCGUGCCUAAUACAUGCAAGUCGAGCGAACAGACGAGGAGCUUACUCCUCUGACGUUAGCGGCGGACGGGUGAGUAACACGUGGAUAACCUACCUAUAAGACUGGGAUAACUUCGGGAAACCGGAGCUAAUACCGGAUAACAUGUUGAACCACAUGGUUCAACAGUGAAAGACGGUCUUGCUGUCACUUAUAGAUGGAUCCGCGUCGCAUUAGCUAGUUGGUAAGGUAACGGCUUACCAAGGCAACGAUGCGUAGCCGACCUGAGAGGGUGAUCGGCCACACUGGAACUGAGACACGGUCCAGACUCCCAAGGGAGGCAGCAGUAGGGAAUCUUCCGCAAUGGGCGAAAGCCUGACGGAGCAACGCCGCGUGAGUGAAGAAGGUCUUCGGAUCGUAAAACUCUGUUAUUAGGGAAGAACAAAUGUGUAAGUAACUAUGCACGUCUUGACGGUACCUAAUCAGAAAGCCACGGCUAACUACGUG